This 255-nucleotide ribosomal RNA is filed under the name uncultured bacterium. RNAcentral describes it as "partial 16S ribosomal RNA". It matches the Rfam family "Bacterial small subunit ribosomal RNA", at positions 524 to 777 of the family's 1533-position model. The record is from RNAcentral.
UACGUAGGGUGCGAGCGUUGUCCGGAAUUACUGGGCGUAAAGAGCUCGUAGGUGGUUUGUCGCGUUUGUCCGUGAAAACUCACAACUCAAUUGUGGGCGUGCGGGCGAUACGGGCAGACUGGAGUACUGCAGGGGAGACUGGAAUUCCUGGUGUGGCGGUGGAAUGCGCAGAUAUCAGGAGGAACACCGGUGGCGAAGGCGGGUCUCUGGGCAGUAACUGACGCUGAGGCACGAAGGCCAGGGGAGCAAACGGGG